Molecule: long non-coding RNA, 1169 nt
Filed under: Anas platyrhynchos platyrhynchos (common mallard)
Lineage: Eukaryota; Metazoa; Chordata; Aves; Anseriformes; Anatidae
Description: lncRNA (ENSAPLG00000027977.1)
Source: RNAcentral
GUCACUCUCCCUUCCAUGCUGCCGUGUCCCUCUGGGAGGAGAUGUCUGCAUUAGCACCAGCCAAACCCAAGACUCCAAAAUUAGGGAAAUGAACAAGCUGAGUCACCUGUUAGGCACCACUUUUGUUCUCACUCCUUGCAGCAGCUGAGGAGUGCCCUGGGGACCGUGCUGUGCCAGGUACCACGCUGCUCUGCAGCAGGCGGCCUUUUCCCCAAAACACUCGGGAGCAAAGAGAAGGGCUGGUGGCAAAGUGACUGAUUUGCUCUCAACCUUAGCUCCUAUAUAGAAAUAAGUGGUGCCAAAGUACAGAGGAGAAUUGAGGGGUUUUACCCCUGCUGCCAGCCCUGUCCCUAGCUCCUGAACCCGUUACUGCCUCUGGGCCCACCUCAAGCCCUCAGAAAAGCAGCCUGCUGGAAGCAACCACGCGUGGGACUCCCAAAAUAUCCGGCUAUUCUGACAAUUUUUCCUUGAAUACACUCCAGCACAGUGUGCACGUAUUUACUUGGUUUACCCAGGGGCACACCACCGACCAGCACAGCCCAGGGCCAGCACACCUGCCUCUCCCCUGGGAGCAGGGGGAGUACCUCCCCUAGAGAAAAAAUUCAAAUUUGGGGAGAAAGUUUUGAUGUUCAUGGGAAUGUUUCAAGCAAAUAGUGGAAGGACGUGUGAAUGCUGCUGAGCUAUGAAAUGCCCUGGCCAUGGGGUGCUGUCACCGCCUGUACCUCUGUACAAAGGCACUUCCCUGCGUGCCCUGAGCAAGCUGUGCGUGAUCUCCGCGAGGCGGAACCCCGGCUACGUCAGGCCAGCCAGGAGAAAGCAGAACUGGCUGGAAGGCCACCACUUCUUCAAUCCAAAGGAUACUGAGCGCACAUUGGCCACAAAAGGGGUGGUGUCCUUCUUAUACCAGCGCCGUGCCAUCCCCAGACAGAAGAGGGAUUGUUAAUGGUGCAGCGGGGAGAUCUCCUGUAAAUCUCCAUAGGAACAUUUGAGUUCAGACCUAUUUCCACAAAUUUUCUGCAAGAAUUUUGGUCAGGACAUCGAUCACCUCGGAUUUUCUCCUAGCUGGAGACACCAGCUCUCACCCUAGCGUACUCUGAUUCAAUUGAAUAGCUCACCUGCAAGACUGAACAUUAAAUAAAUGUUACUGCUUUCAGAUAGAGAUUCUUUUU